AAGUCUGACGGAGCAACGCCGCGUGAGUGAUGAAGGCUUUCGGGUCGUAAAACUCUGUUGUUAGGGAAGAACAAGUACAAGAGUAACUGCUUGUACCUUGACGGUACCUAACCAGAAAGCCACGGCUAACUACGUGCCAGCAGCCGCGGUAAUACGUAGGUGGCAAGCGUUAUCCGGAAUUAUUGGGCGUAAAGCGCGCGCAGGCGGUUUCUUAAGUCUGAUGUGAAAGCCCACGGCUCAACCGUGGAGGGUCAUUGGAAACUGGGGAACUUGAGUGCAGAAGAGAAAAGCGGAAUUCCACGUGUAGCGGUGAAAUGCGUAGAGAUGUGGAGGAACACCAGUGGCGAAGGCGGCUUUUUGGUCUGUAACUGACGCUGAGGCGCGAAAGCGUGGGGAGCAAACAGGAUUAGAUACCCUGGUAGUCCACGCCGUAAACGAUGAGUGCUAAGUGUUAGAGGGUUUCCGCCCUUUAUUGCUGCAGCUAACGCAUUAAGCACUCCGCCUGGGGAGUACGGUCGCAAAACUGAAACUCAAAGGAAUUGACG
This 545-nucleotide ribosomal RNA is filed under the name Priestia megaterium. RNAcentral's name for it is "bacterial SSU rRNA". It matches the Rfam family "Bacterial small subunit ribosomal RNA", at positions 379 to 915 of the family's 1533-position model. Lineage: Bacteria; Bacillati; Bacillota; Bacilli; Caryophanales; Bacillaceae. The record is from RNAcentral.